CCUACGGGAGGCAGCAGUGGGGAAUAUUGCACAAUGGGGGAAACCCUGAUGCAGCGACGCCGCGUGGGCGAAGAAGUAUUUCGGUAUGUAAAGCCCUAUCAGUAGGGAAGAAGAAAUUACGGUACCUGAGCAAGAUGCACCGGCUAAAGACGAGACAGCAGCCGCGGUAAUACGUCGGGUGCAAGCGAUAUGCGGAUUUACUGGGUGUAAAGGGAGCGCAGGCGGGACGGCAAGCGUGAGGUGAAAGCCCGGGGCUCAACCGGGGGACUGCAUUGGGCACCAGCGGGCUGGAGUGCCGGAGAGGUGGGCGGAAUUCCAGGUGUAGCGGUGAAAUGCGUAGAUAUGGGGAGGAACACCAGUGGCGAAGGCAGCCUACUGGGAAGUGACUGACGCUGAGGCGCGAAAGCGUGGGGAGCAAACAGGAUUAGAUACCCGGGUAGUC
Molecule: ribosomal RNA, 442 nt
Filed under: uncultured bacterium
Lineage: Bacteria
Description: partial 16S ribosomal RNA
Rfam family: Bacterial small subunit ribosomal RNA
Source: RNAcentral